RNAcentral lists this ribosomal RNA (1449 nucleotides) under Rhodococcus sp. (in: high G+C Gram-positive bacteria). RNAcentral's name for it is "bacterial SSU rRNA". It matches the Rfam family "Bacterial small subunit ribosomal RNA". Lineage: Bacteria; Bacillati; Actinomycetota; Actinomycetes; Mycobacteriales; Nocardiaceae. The record is from RNAcentral.
UACGGGGGGGGGGCUUACACAUGCAAGUCGACGAUGAAGCCCAGCUUGCUGGGUGGAUUAGUGGCGAACGGGUGAGUAACACGUGGGUGAUCUGCCCUGCACUUCGGGAUAAGCCUGGGAAACUGGGUCUAAUACCGGAUAUGACCUCGGGAUGCAUGUCCUGGGGUGGAAAGUUUUUCGGUGCAGGAUGAGCCCGCGGCCUAUCAGCUUGUUGGUGGGGUAAUGGCCUACCAAGGCGACGACGGGUAGCCGGCCUGAGAGGGCGACCGGCCACACUGGGACUGAGACACGGCCCAGACUCCUACGGGAGGCAGCAGUGGGGAAUAUUGCACAAUGGGCGCAAGCCUGAUGCAGCGACGCCGCGUGAGGGAUGACGGCCUUCGGGUUGUAAACCUCUUUUCACCCCAUUGACGGAAGCGCCAAGUGGACGGUAGGUCGGAGAAGAAGCACCGGCCAACUACGUGCCAGCAGCCGCGGUAAUACGUAGGGUGCGAGCGUUGUCCGGAAUUACUGGGCGUAAAGAGCUCGUAGGGCGGAUUUGUCGCGUCGUCUGUGAAAACCCGCAGCUCAACUGCGGGCUUGCAGGCGAUACGGGCAGACUCGAGUACUGCAGGGGAGACUGGAAUUCCUGGUGUAGCGGUGAAAUGCGCAGAUAUCAGGAGGAACACCGGUGGCGAAGGCGGGUCUCUGGGCAGUAACUGACGCUGAGGAGCGAAAGCGUGGGUAGCGAACAGGAUUAGAUACCCUGGGUAGUCCACGCCGUAAACGGUGGGCGCUAGGUGUGGGUUUCCCUUCCACGGGAUCCGUGCCGUAGCCAACGCAUUAAAGCGCCCCGCCUGGGGAGUACGGCCGCAAGGCUAAAACUCAAAGGAAUUGACGGGGGCCCGCACAAGCGGCGGAGCAUGUGGAUUAAUUCGAUGCAACGCGAAGAACCUUACCUGGGUUUGACAUGUACCGGGACGACCGCCAGAGAUGUGGUUUCCCUUGUGGCCGGUAGACAGGUGGUGCAAUGGCUGUUCGUCAGCUUCGUGUCGUGCAGAUGUUGGGUUAAGUCCCCGCAAUCAAGCGCAACCCUUUGUCCUGUGUUGCCAGCACGUGAUGGUGGGGACUCGCAGGAGACUGCCGGGGUCAACUCGGAGGAAGGUGGGGACGACGUCAAGUCAUCAUGCCCCUUAUGUCCAGGGCUUCACACAUGCUACAAUGGUCGGUACAGAGGGCUGCGAUACCGUGAGGUGGAGCGAAUCCCUUAAAGCCGGUCUCAGUUCGGAUCGGGGUCUGCAACUCGACCCCGUGAAGUCGGAGUCGCUAGUAAUCGCAGAUCAGCAACGCUGCGGUGAAUACGUUCCCGGGCCUUGUACACACCGCCCGUCACGUCAUGAAAGUCGGUAACACCCGAAGCCGGUGGCCUAACCCCUCGUGGGAGGGAGCCGUCGAAGGGGGAUUCGGGGU